Molecule: ribosomal RNA, 4356 nt
Filed under: Triticum aestivum (bread wheat)
Lineage: Eukaryota; Viridiplantae; Streptophyta; Magnoliopsida; Poales; Poaceae
Description: partial small subunit ribosomal RNA
Source: RNAcentral
AUGGCCGAGCUCGCGGCGGGCGCCGUGAGCUCCCUGCUGGUCGUCAUCCGCAGCGAGGCGCGGCUACUGCAAGGCGUCGGGGACGGCGUGCAGUUCAUCAACGAGGAGAUGGAGAGCAUGAAGAGCUUCCUGGAGCACCUGGCAAGGAGCGGCGGCGAGCACAACGAGCAGGUGCGCAGCUGGAUGAGGCAGGUGCGGCUGCUCGCCCAGGACUGCAGCAACUGCAUCGACCUCUACCUCAGCCGCGGGAGCCCCGACGUCCACCGCGCCAGAGGGGGACUCCGAGGCUACCUCUGGUGGGCGACCUGGUUCCUGCAAAAGUUGGUCGUGCAGCACCACGCAGCCGAGCAGCUGCGCCUACUCAAGGAGCGGGCGCGCGAGAUCGGCGCUCGGCGGUUGAGGUACGGCGUGGAGGUCCCGGACAAGUCAUUGAAGGUGCAAUCGACGGCUGGGAUGGCUUCGGCGUCGCGGGCUGCUGCGGCAGGUGGCUAUGCUGCUGCUGGGGCCGAGGAUGAUGAAGAAGAUGCUGACGGUCAACUCGUGGGGGCGAUGGUGGCCGGCGGUCAUUUUGCUCGAAGAGCCUUCAUUGAUUCUCGUACUCUGGGUGACUUCGUCACGGAAAAGCUAUGUGAGUGGGCAUAUGGAGUUCCUUCAAACGCCAGCGAAACUUUAUCCAUGGUCUUUCUGGCACCCUACAAAUAUCAGGAGGACCUCCUCGCUCUUGUACAACAAAAUUGGCUUAUGAGUCAAAACCUGCGUGCCUAUGGCUACAAUUGCAUUGUUCUGGUUGACAUCCCGGCCAUGCACCACGAGUUUGCGCCGCUACAAGCCAAGGAGAUUCUCUUCUACAUUCUGCGAGAGCUCAAGCAUGCCAAUUCCAACCCCCAGGAGAAAGGCACGCAAGGCCAAGUGGAUCUUGAUCCUUGGGAAGUGUACAUAAGAAGAUUGCAAAUUUACCGUGAAAAGAAGAGGGCUAUUGCUUUUCUUCAAAUCAAGGAGAAUAUCAAAGAGAUGAAGAUCUAUGACAAGCUUGACAAAAUUAAGGCUGAUAUUCAAGGUCGACUAGAGAAUAAGGGCGACGGACUACUGAAGGGCGACAAGCUGCAGGGUGAUUUUGACCAGUUGGAUCUAGACAUACUACUUCAGCUGCUGCUACAAGCAGCGUUUCAACAGGAUCAAAGAGGUAAGAACAAAGACAUGCAUAGAUUAACAGCGUCGGACAACAACAACAACAACAACAUCCUCGUCAAGAAGCUUAAGGAGUACAUGGAAGCAGAGGAAAAGGACAAGAAGCUUGAAGAGGAAGAAGCAGCCAAGCAUAUGGGGGUGGAAGGAGAACAAGCUGAGGUCAAGCAUAAGGAGGAAGGAGGAGGAGGAGAAGUAACAUGCAAACAUAUGGAGGACAUAGAGGAGGGGGGAGGAGAAGUAAUAACCAUACAUAAAGAAGAAGAAAGUCAGCAGACGGCGUGGAUUCGCCUUGAUGAGGCACAAUAUGUGCACAUCCUGCGGAAGCUGUUUCCCAAGAGCAUCAGCAACAAGCCCCUGCAGGCUCAAGACAGAUCCUUGGACAAGCAAGCUACAAAGACCACAACGGCUACAUUGGAUGAGGAUCAAAUCAAAAAACUAAUCCACGACGCAAAGGAAGACAUCUUAGGAGAGCUGCAGCAAGGCAAAUAUGACAAGAGUGAAGGGACAGGUGAACCUGUUGCUGAAAGUGUUUCUGAAAAAACAUUUACCUGUUUCGUGGAUCAGAUGAUGCAUAAAAUGAAGCCCGGGUUCAAAGAGCAGCUAAAGAUCAAAGGGCUCGUGAAUGAGAUUAAAAAUAACUUGAAUCCUCAUCCGUUCUGGGAUAACGUGUGUGAAUGCCCCCUGUUUAUCCUCAAAGUUGAUGAGUUGAUGGAUGUUUCCACAUGGGAGGAUACCAGAAAUGCUUUAAGCUUGUUAAAGUGCAGCGCCGAUUUAAUGAUCGUGCCCAGCACAAAGGACAUCCAACUGGCUAAAAAGUAUUGCUAUCCACAGAGGGAACCUAUAGACUAUUCUCUUGCUGGCCUCUACCAUGAUACAGUGCUCGAGCUUACUAGUCAGCAGAAGAAUGAAGACAGCUACAACCCCCAAAUUUUUCAUGAUAUCUUGUACGAGUGUGAGCCACAUGAAUUCUGCAUGAAGAUUUUCACUCAUGCUUUCUAUGCUAACCCCAAGAGGAGCAAUGAGGAGUUACUCAAGCUACACAGCACCCUGCGGGCUUUACCAACAACAUCAUUCAACAGCAUCGCGAAGGUGAUGUUCAAGUUCUCUUACAAUGACCUGUCUAAAGAAUACAGGUCCUGCUUGCUGUACCUAGCUAUCUUCUCUCCCAGAAAAAAGAUCAGGCGGUCAACAUUGAUUACACGCUGGGUUACAGAAGGGCUGACAUCCAAGGAAGAUUGGCCCAGUUCUAGCUGUGUCGUAAGUGAUCCAGUUCAUGGAUUCAUUACCACCAUCGCCAGAAAACAACACAUUGUGGAGACACGCCUGUCACAUCACUUGGCUCGCCACUUCUCCAUUUUCAACGAUCUCCAACUCCGCAGCUCUGAUAGAAUUGAUCAAUUCUUCAAGGGGCUAUCUGAAUCAUCUCAAGUAUCCCUGCUCAAGGUGCUAGAUCUAGAAGGUUGUCAGUGCUUUCUUGAGAAGAAACAGCGGUACCUCAAGGAAAUCUGCAGCAAGAUGUUACUGCUCAAGUAUCUGAGCCUAAGGAGAACAAAUAUUACCCAGCUACCGAGUGAAAUCAACAACCUCCGUGAGCUAGAGGUGCUGGAUAUCCGAGAAACUAAGGUGCCUCCACAUGCAACAGCACAUAUCCUGCUAUUGAAGCUGAAGGGUCUGCUUGCUGGUCACAUUGAUCCGAGCAAUUUUGAAUCUAUUCCCCGGAUUCCUCAUAGGAUCGACAAAAUGGUAAACAUGGAGGUACUAUCCAGUGUCAAGGCCAAGCAGAGUCAUGAUUUAAAAGAUAUUGGAAGGCUAUGGCAGCUGAGGAAGCUAGGUGUGGUUAUCGAUGAUAAGGAUAGUCACCUCAAGAAUUUGCUUAAGGCGAUCAGUGACCUACAUGAGUGUUUCUGUUCUCUGUUAAUCACUCUCCCCGUAGCCGCACCACAUGAGGCAGAGUUACCAGAAGUCAAUGUACCUGACCUAAAAAAACAUCCCAAGAUUCUUGAGUCUCUAAGCAUCAAGGGAACCACACAGAAGGGGUGUCUCCUUCCAUUGUUCAUAAAAGGUGAUAACAACAAACUUGCCAAGAUAACUCUCUGUCACACUCUGCUGAGCCAAGAUGAUCUGGAAGUCCUCGCCAAACUGCCAAAGUUACGGUGUGUCAGGCUCCAACACAUUGUAUGCAUCGAGCACACGCUGAACUUCAAGGAAGGUGAAUUCAGAUGCCUCAAGUACCUUCUUAUUGAGGACUUGGACUUGACUAAUAUCACUUUUGAGGAUGAGGCAGCCAGUGAGCUCGAGAAGAUGGUUUUGUCUAUCAGCAGCAAAUGCUCUAUUUCUGGAGUUGACUAUCUUCUUAAGCUGAAAGAGCUUGAGUUGAACAGCAGCUUCUGUGGAAGUUUGCUUGACGAUGCCAAACAGAUAGCCAAGCUAACUCUUUGUGGUACAUUGCUAGAGCUGGAUGCUCUACAAACACUCACCAAGAAACGAAAUAUACGCACUCUGGUGCUCCUGGACAAGUCUUUUGGUGGAAGUCAGAACGAGAUUACAUUGAAAAAAGAUGAGUUCUUAUGGCUCAACCUCCUUGUUGUCGACUGCUCGGCCAUCACCAAGAUUGUCUUCAACAGCGGGUCUGCUCCUAGGCUCGAGAAAAUUGUCUUGUCAUCUUCCACAUCUCUCUCCAGCAUCGACAAACUUCCAAGAUUGAAGGAGCUUGAGUUCAACGGUGACAAAGUCCCCAAUGAGGUGGGUAAGGCCAUUGAAAAUCAUAAAAACAAGCCUAGGCUUAAACAUAAUGGACCAGAAACUCGAAACGAAGCAAAAGGAGAUGAAGAAGAGGAUGACAACGAUGCUGCAACAUUCUCUUUCUGCUGGAAGAAACAGCUGUAUGUUGGCGUGUAUUUGGUUGGUAGCUCGCGUAGUUUCUCCCGCUGUUUGCUGGUGAAGAAGCCACAAAUCGGAAGGAGUUGGAGGAGGCGCAAUGCCCCUACCUUACCUCAAAUCCGUAAACUGCGACGAGCAACAAAACACGACACGGACGGCUUGUCCUUCCUCCUCGUUGGUACUGGGCGAUCUUUUCGGUUGGCCGCGACGGAGGAGGCCACGGCGAGGGUCCAGCCGCCGACCCUGGAAGAGGAAGACGGAGAAGAGAGGGUGGGGAUGCGGAUGUGA